Molecule: non-coding RNA, 20 nt
Filed under: Rattus norvegicus (Norway rat)
Lineage: Eukaryota; Metazoa; Chordata; Mammalia; Rodentia; Muridae
Source: RNAcentral
UAAGACUGAAGGGAACGGGG